GUGCUCGCUUCGGCAGCUCAUGUACUAAAUUUGUAACCAUACAGAGAUUAGCAUGGCCCCUGUGCAAGGAUGACGUGUAAAUUCGUGAGACGUUCCAUAUUUUU
Small nuclear RNA from Rhinolophus ferrumequinum (greater horseshoe bat), 104 nucleotides. The record is from Ensembl. NCBI's taxonomy places the organism in Eukaryota, Metazoa, Chordata, Mammalia, Chiroptera, Rhinolophidae.